Molecule: ribosomal RNA, 320 nt
Filed under: uncultured bacterium
Lineage: Bacteria
Description: partial 16S ribosomal RNA
Rfam family: Bacterial small subunit ribosomal RNA
Source: RNAcentral
UGGGGAAUAUUGGACAAUGGGGGCAACCCUGAUCCAGCAAUGCCGCGUGUGUGAAGAAGGUUUUCGGAUUGUAAAGCACUUUCGGCGGGGACGAUGAUGACGGUACCCGCAGAAGAAGCCCCGGCUAACUUCGUGCCAGCAGCCGCGGUAAUACGAAGGGGGCUAGCGUUGCUCGGAAUGACUGGGCGUAAAGGGCGUGUAGGCGGUUUGUACAGUCAGAUGUGAAAUCCCCGGGCUUAACCUGGGAGCUGCAUUUGAGACGUGCAGACUAGAGUGUGAGAGAGGGUUGUGGAAUUCCCAGUGUAGAGGUGAAAUUCGUA